GAUGAAGAACGUAGCGAAAUGCGAUAAGUAGUGUGAAUUGCAGAAUUCAGUGAAUCAUCGAAUCUUUGAACGCACAUUGCGCCCCUUGGUAUUCCAUGGGGCAUGUCUGUUCGAGCGUCAUUUGUACCUUCAAGCUCUGCUUGGUGUUGGGUGUUUGUCUCGCCUCUGCGUGUAGACUCGCCUCAAAAUAAUUGGCAGCCGGCGUAUUGAUUUCGGAGCGCAGUACAUCUCGCGCUUUGCACUCAUAACGACGACGUCCAAAAGUACAUUUUUACACUCUUGACCUCGGAUCAGGUAGGGAUACCCGCUGAACUUAAGCAUAUCAAUAAGCGGAGGA
Molecule: unclassified non-coding RNA, 337 nt
Filed under: soil metagenome
Description: partial contains 5.8S ribosomal RNA, internal transcribed spacer 2, and large subunit ribosomal RNA
Rfam family: 5.8S ribosomal RNA (bases 1-120)
Source: RNAcentral